This 695-nucleotide long non-coding RNA is filed under the name Glycine max (soybean). Its description in RNAcentral is "long non-coding RNA (GMAX_LNC001200)". Lineage: Eukaryota; Viridiplantae; Streptophyta; Magnoliopsida; Fabales; Fabaceae. The record is from RNAcentral.
GGAACCUCCUUGCCAAACUCAACCACUCCAGACAUGUCCCUCCUGUUAGUUGCAUAGUUUCUGACGGUGUCAUGAGCUUCACCUUAAUUGCUUCAGAAGAACUAGGCAUUCCUGAGGUCUUCUUUUGGACCAUAAGCGCUUGUGGGCUCUUGUGUUACCUUCACAAUGGUCAACUCGUCAAAAAGGGCCUCGUACCCCUCAAAGGUACUACUAUACUAUAUAUUAAUUUAUGUUCUUUCAGUAUUUUGAUAUGAAUUUAGUGUAUGUAUGGAUGAGGAUUAACAUAAUUGAUUCUUAAAAUUAAUUUUGGAGUAAAGUAUUUUAUUUUUGGAUUUUUUUAAACUGAAAAUUGAUUUUCUAUUCAGAAUCAAUUUCUUAAUAUGAAAUUAAACAUGUGAAUAUUUAUAUAAUAUUAACAACGUGAUUUUAGAUAUAACAUGAAUUCAAACGUGCACUCAAUUUAUUACGUGCCUAAGCUAGCAGACUCGAGUUAUAUGACAAAUGGAUAUUUGGAGACUGCCAUCGAUUGGUUACCUGGCAUCAAAGAAAUUUUGUUGAGAGAUUUCCCAAGCUUCUUCAGAACCAUAGACCCACAUGAUAUUAUGCUGCAAGUUUUGCAGGAAGAGUGUGGGAGAGCUAAGCAUGCUUCUGCAAUCAUUUUGAACACAUUUGAGGCUUUAGAGCAUGAUGUUUUG